Non-coding RNA from Xyrichtys novacula (pearly razorfish), 83 nucleotides. The record is from the annotation of a GenBank genome assembly. Lineage: Eukaryota; Metazoa; Chordata; Actinopteri; Labriformes; Labridae.
UUUUUCUAUUUCUGCUCUUGGUUUGGAUUGAUCUCACUAUGAAGCAGUGAGAUCAAUCCAAACCAAGAGCAGAAAUAGAAAAA